RNAcentral lists this ribosomal RNA (404 nucleotides) under uncultured bacterium. RNAcentral's name for it is "bacterial SSU rRNA". It matches the Rfam family "Bacterial small subunit ribosomal RNA", at positions 359 to 776 of the family's 1533-position model. The record is from RNAcentral.
GAAUCUUCCGCAAUGGACGAAAGUCUGACGGAGCGACGCCGCGUGGUGGAUGAAGCGUUUCGGCGCGUAAACACCUUUUAUGAGGGAAGAAGUAUAUUGACAUUACCUCAUGAAUAAGGGGCUCCCAAUUCUGUGCCAGCAGGAGCGGUAAUACAGAAGCCUCAAGCGUUACCCGGAUUCACUGGGCGUAAAGGGUGCGUAGGCGGUUAUAUUAGUCGGGUGUUAAAUCCUGAGGCUCAACCUCAGGCUCGCAUCCGAAACGGUAUAACUUGAAGACGUCAGAGGUAAGCAGAACUCUCGGUGUAGGGGUGAAAUCCGUUGAUAUCGAGGGGAAUACCAAAUGCGAAGGCAGCUUACUGGGACGUUCUUGACGCUGAGGCACGAAAGCGUGGGUAGCGAACGGG